RNAcentral lists this long non-coding RNA (1679 nucleotides) under Homo sapiens (human). Its description in RNAcentral is "HSALNT0082610". Lineage: Eukaryota; Metazoa; Chordata; Mammalia; Primates; Hominidae. The record is from RNAcentral.
AAUGCAUGCUGCAAUAUUACCCACAAGGGGGUUGGAUAUUUCACAGAAACCUGCCAUUAUUGAUCAUUAUGAUAAUUAUAAUUGAUAAUUUUUAAAAAAUGCUUUCAUUUUGCUAAGCUACAAUUUCUUACCUAAUUGGAUUUAUAUCCUUUCUUUCUCAAUAUUCUGCCCAUGAUUUGUAAUUAUCACAAUUCAUAAUUUUAAAAUUCUAUAGGAGAUUGUAUUUUCAAAAGCCUCCUGCAAGAAUAUCUGCCAUCUGACAUACUCUUUUGUAAUGUAACUCGCCACUAACCCGUGGAAAGAUGCAGUGUGCGUCUGAACUACCUUGCAUCUGUGUGGAGUCUGUGACUGCGAUGAUGCCGCAGACGUGCUGUCGUGUGACUUCUGAGGAUACAUCUUAAGGAGUCAAAUCCUAGUAUCUUCUCUUUUGACUGCUCAUCCUAGGGAAACUCUGCUUGGAACAUGGUACCCUUGCCAUGAGAGGCCCAACCCAUGUGGAGAAGUCAACUGUAGGUGCUCUGAGUCCACGGCCCCAGGAGAGUUCUGCAACGUCAGCCAGUGCCAACUGCCCGUGGUGUGAGCGCACCUGCCUGGACUGAGGCAGGCUUUGGAUGACUGAGUCUUGGCCAACCUCCAUCUGCACCUGCAUCUGAAACCUCAAAUAAGAACUGCAGCCAACCCAGAUAACUAUGAGAGAUGAUAAUAAAUUGUUCAAGUAUAAUAAAGUGCGGGAUGGUUGGUUAGCCACAACAGAUAGCUGAAACAGAUGCUUACAGUGGCCUCUAAGACAGUCCGGGAGCAUGCAUAGUUGACUCACCCUUCCCAGUGUCACCUUCUCUCACUCCCCAGUCCCACUCCCUGAACAUCGCGUUGCCCCUGAGGAAGUGGACUGAACAAUUUCAGGUAAUUUAUUGUUUAUUGCCUUUUUUCAUUUCACGUCCUCUGUCAGUAUCAUUGGAAUAAAUGAUUUCAUUUCUAACUUGCAAAUACAUAGGGGUCAACUGUACAAGCGCUCCACUGUUUCCUAACUCCCCAAUUUCCACCACAACAGUAACACCCAGAGGAAGGCAGGCUUGGUCUCCCUAGGAACAGGAUCAUGCUGCUCCACUUAGCUGUGUUCCCAGCUUGGAUGGGGAAAAAAUAAACAAACAUAAAACACCCGGGGGUCAGUGGGUGAUCCAGAAAAUACUUUUCUGACACUGCUCUCUCUGUCUUGAAACUAGAAGACAUAGAAAUUAACUUUUUCUUCUGUGUAUUCUCCCAAGAACGCUUGGCAGCCGUUUUGCUGUGGGAAGAGUAAAUGCGGAAAAUCUUUUAACAGCACACAAGCUUUAGCGCUUAUUGGAAGGUUGCUACCUUAAUAGCCUCCCCUUUUCUACUAGAAGUUCUUUCAAUGUAGCAUGAUUGUAAAUUAGAAAAGUGAAAUGAAAGAAUUCAUAUAUCUGUUUUAUCAUAAUAUAGGAAAGCUGAACAUACAGCAAUAUCCUCAAGCAAAAUGAGAAAUAAAAAUAUAUGCUUAUCUGAAUUAUGUAUUUGUUAAAAUUGAAAGCUUUUUAAAUAUGUUUUUGUUUUUAAUGGAGAAUCAAUAGUAGCUUGUGUAUACUACUCAAUAAUAACAUGGGCAAGAUUCAUGGGAUGAUCUUAAGAAGGAAUCCAGGAUUUGACAGCAAUGACUGAAC